AUUGAACGCUGGCGGAAUGCCUUACACAUGCAAGUCGAACGGCAGCACGGACUUCGGUCUGGUGGCGAGUGGCGAACGGGUGAGUAAUACAUCGGAACGUGCCCAGUCGUGGGGGAUAACGUAGCGAAAGCUACGCUAAUACCGCAUACGAUCUAAGGAUGAAAGCGGGGGAUCGCAAGACCUCGCGCGAUUGGAGCGGCCGAUGGCAGAUUAGGUAGUUGGUAGGGUAAAGGCCUACCAAGCCGACGAUCUGUAGCUGGUCUGAGAGGAUGAUCAGCCAAACUGGGACUGAGACACGGCCCAGACUCCUACGGGAGGCAGCAGUGGGGAAUUUUGGACAAUGGGCGCAAGCCUGAUUCAGCCAUUCCGCGUGCAGGAUGAAGGCCUUCGGGUUGUAAACUGCUUUUGUACAGAACGAAAAGGCUCUGGUUAAUACCCGGGGCUCAUGACGGUACUGUAAGAAUAAGCACCGGCUAACUACGUGCCAGCCGCCGCAGUAA
This 500-nucleotide ribosomal RNA is filed under the name uncultured bacterium. RNAcentral's name for it is "partial 16S ribosomal RNA". It matches the Rfam family "Bacterial small subunit ribosomal RNA", at positions 30 to 523 of the family's 1533-position model. The record is from RNAcentral.